AUGCUUGCUUUGGCAGCACAUAUACUAACACUGGAAAGAUACAGAGAAGAUUACCAUGACCCCUGUGCAAAGACGACACACAAAUUCAUAAAGUGUUCCAUAUUAUA
Molecule: small nuclear RNA, 107 nt
Organism: Nannospalax galili (Upper Galilee mountains blind mole rat)
Lineage: Eukaryota; Metazoa; Chordata; Mammalia; Rodentia; Spalacidae
Source: Ensembl